This 253-nucleotide ribosomal RNA is filed under the name uncultured bacterium. Its description in RNAcentral is "partial 16S ribosomal RNA". It matches the Rfam family "Bacterial small subunit ribosomal RNA", at positions 524 to 776 of the family's 1533-position model. The record is from RNAcentral.
UACAGAGGGUGCAAGCGUUAAUCGGAAUUACUGGGCGUAAAGCGCACGUAGGCGGUUUUUUAAGUCAGAUGUGAAAGCCCCGGGCUCAACCUGGGAAUUGCAUUUGAAACUGGGAAACUAGAGUGUGUGAGAGGGGGGUAGAAUUCCAAGUGUAGCGGUGAAAUGCGUAGAGAUUUGGAGGAAUACCAGUGGCGAAGGCGGCCCCCUGGCACAACACUGACGCUAAUGCACGAAAGCGUGGGGAGCAAACAGG